This 1001-nucleotide long non-coding RNA is filed under the name Cricetulus griseus (Chinese hamster). RNAcentral describes it as "lncRNA (ENSCGRG00015015649.2)". Lineage: Eukaryota; Metazoa; Chordata; Mammalia; Rodentia; Cricetidae. The record is from RNAcentral.
ACAAAUAGGUGUAUCUGACUACUUUGCAUUAUGUACCUAAAACUGUGUUUUCAUUUCAUUUUGCUUUAAUUUAAAUUUUAAUUGUUUUAUUAUUGUGAAAGGCUUAACAAUUUAGUUAUUCAUAACUUACUCUGUUUAAUGUGUAUCUCUUCUUAAAAUAAUUUGCAUAAUUGAAGAUCAUACAAUUGGUUUUAAGAAAUCAAUAGAUUACUAAGGGAAUAACAGUACUUAAUAAAUGAAUAAUUUCUUCCAAUGAGAAUAUACUUAUGAUAUAAUACUUUUGCUAUUACUCUGUUUUUUGUUUGAGUUUUUAUGCAUCUGUAGGUUGGAAAGUCUGAUCAUAUAUCCAGUACUGAGGAAGCCAGGUACAAAUGAAAGAAGAUACCUUCAUGAUUGCUGAACAACAAUGCUCACCCUCAGUAUUUAGAGGAUACAAGUUCUUCAAGUUAAGUUUUCCUCUGUGCAGCUGUGUCUUCAUCUAGGAAAAAUCACAUUAACCAUUGGUGUGAAAGGCUGAAAAUCUCUUUGAUGCUCUUGACUAAGGAUUAAAAGCCAGGGCCAUGUCUGACAACUUGACUUUGUUACUUCACAGUAGAAUGUGUCUGAGACUGUUUUUUGAUAUCAUCUUUACAUUGGAGUUGGUUGGUUAAAGGACAAGCAUUGCCCAGACGUUGAUGGAGCCAGAGGACCUAUCCUGGACAUCAUGUGCAGAGAAGAUGGAUCCUGGCAGCUGCUGGAGCCAGGAGGACCAGCCAUGAAGUGGAGAUAGAUGCAGUCACCUGAUGGAGCCAGGAGGAUCAGUCAUGAAAUGGAGAUGGAUGCAGUCAGCUGAUGGAGCCAAGAGGACCAGUGAUGCAGAGAAGAUUGAUCCAAGGAGCCAAUGGAAUCUGGAGGACCUAUGUGUCAAGGAGGCAGAUAAGAAGUAUCCCAGACAGACUCCCUCUAUUGACUUAGAUCUCCAACAUGUCCUCCCACCUGUGGAUGAGAUUCAUUACACUAAG